GCCUGGCGUUUCCCUCCUGGGUCCGUUAGAAUCCCAGUUUUGCACGUUGUGUGUUAUACAACAUAUGCGAAUGGUGGCCCUUCCCUGCUAGACUACAAACUUCCAGAAACUUGGGACAGUGUCUGUGUUUGCUACCACUUUAUACCCAACACAUAGAACUCGACAUAUGGUCGUUGAUUGAAGAAAUGAAUGGCUACCAGAGAUGGCUUUUAUCUGAAUAAGUUAUUUUCCAAUAUGCUCUUAGGAAAGACUGUUAUGGCUCAAGCCCUCCUCAUGGGGAUGACUCUGUAGCCUUUUCCUGCGACCCUUCUCUUCCCCUCCAAGCUCAUCUCCACGCUACAGCCUGAGUGAUCCUGCUUAAGAAAGCCCCUCUCCAGUGGCUUCCCAUGCACUAGAAGAAAAUCUGGGCACUCUAUCCUGCCUCACAAAGCUCUUCCUGAGUUCUUUUAGCAUAAUCAUUUGAGAACUUGGAGCAGGACUGUGGUUGAUUUUUUACUCUGUACAAUAAUAAAAUACAAAGGUUUAUUUUGCUCGCAGGGUAAAGAUGGUUUUAUGAAGCUACACCUUUCCCUUGAAGAGUCUAUUGUUAUGUUAGACAGGCAGAAGGAAGCUGUAGACGUAGAAAGAAAAACAUGUAGACAUUUCUUUGACGUGAAAUUACUUGUGAGUUCCUGAAAGGACGGCUUUAUAGAAGAUCGGCAUUUAGACUAGAUCACCCAAGUAUAGCUCGUGACCAAAGAGAACGUGUGUUUAUGAAGGGCCAGAGGUAAGGGCUGAGGAUGGGAGGGCUGUACAGGUUGCUCAAAGAACUGCUAAGAACAAAACACUGCUUUGAGCUUGAGCUGAUACGUUGUGAAGAGUGAUCUCUGAACAGAGAAGCAGUCAUUGAGUUCUUACUGUAUAUGACAUAGGGAAAUUGAACCUAUGGGAGAGUGGAAGGGAAUGUGUCCAAAAGACGGAUCAGGUGCUUUCCUGAAGGCAUUCAUAAUUAAGGAGAGAUAAAACAUAUGUGCACCAUAAGCAGUAUGACAACAACUAUAGAGAAGGGAGACUAGAAAUACAGGACACCUGGCGUGUGUGUGCUGAGGGGUGAAGACAGAUGGAGAGGGAUGACAGGCUCCUGGGGAAAGAUUCUCAGGAGAGGUGAAUUCCGAGCUGGGAUGUAAGUGAUUUAGAUCGUUGUCAACGAAAAUGAGGUCAUCUGAGGAGGAGGCAACGGCUUGAGCAAAGAUGGUGAGAAGGAUCCUAAUGAGGUGCAUAAAGGAGAAAGCUCAGAAGGACAGAAGCUGAGGGGCUAUGGAAGGAAAGUUGGCAAGGAAAGCUAUGCUUCCUUAAACUACUGUCGAAUAUCUAGAUAAGGAUGAGCAUUCUGAAAACACAUAGAAAUGUACAAGAAAUGUACUGGUGCUUAGAAAUAAACAAGCCAAUUUC
Molecule: long non-coding RNA, 1431 nt
Organism: Diceros bicornis minor
Lineage: Eukaryota; Metazoa; Chordata; Mammalia; Perissodactyla; Rhinocerotidae
Exons: 3
Source: RefSeq, a predicted model, not a curated record